Long non-coding RNA from Lemur catta (Ring-tailed lemur), 1470 nucleotides. RefSeq lists it as uncharacterized. The record is from RefSeq and is a predicted model, not a curated record. The transcript has 7 exons. NCBI's taxonomy places the organism in Eukaryota, Metazoa, Chordata, Mammalia, Primates, Lemuridae.
CAGUCUCUCCCUGGCUUCUGUGCCUUGGGCCUGUCGCUGCGUUUGUUGUUCUGGGCGGCCGAGGUUGUGCUUGGAAUCUGCCAUCCACAAUGCUGAGGCCUGACCUUGGUGGAAGUUGAGAGUGCUGCUUAACUUUUCUUCUGAGACAUAGUCCAACCAUAAUCCACCCUGCAAGCCCGGAGCAGCAGUCGAGAGUGUCCAAAUGAUUUCCCCCAAAUCUGGGCUCCAGGACAGUCCUGCACACAGAUGAAUGCCCCUGUGAGCAAAUCGCCUCCCAGCCUGCCCAGAGUCACCUAGGCUGCUGGCAAAUGGCGUUUCAGAGCAAGGCAGAGGACCUUUGGAGGAAUGAAUGCAAACAGCUGUCUGGACAAGCUGUGCCCUGACCAGCAGAGCCAAGAGUCAGAAGCACAGAAUGGGGAGAUUGCGUCGGUAAAGUGACGGGUGCAGGGCAGAUGUGCACUCUCUGAGGCUAAUUUUAAACGAGAUGAAAAUACACGGCUGGAAGGGACCAAGAGCAACAACAUCUGCAGGAGCUUGCUACCUUCUGUCUGUGUAGAAUGUUUUGGAACGAUCUCUGGAGGCCUCACUCCCGGUAUCUGCUUUGAGUCUGUGACUCAGCAAAAUUGAGUAAGACACAGCCUCUGUUCCAAAGAAGCCCACCGUCUGGCAGGGGAGGAGAGACCUGAGUUGUGAAAGGGCUUCUGCAUCCUACAAAUGCCACCACCAGUUAUGUAUUUCUUUGCGUGUUGCUCUGGUGGCUCUCUGUCACUCAAAAUGUCCCUCUUGCUGGGGUUAAUGACUGUGAGCAAGGACUUGCUAGCUGGCACCUACCCUUCUGGGGUGAAGAGCACAGAGGCUUUCAAGCCCCGCGCAAUUGCCUGCGACCUUUGACUCUCCACGGCCUCUGCAUCCCGACCUUCUCUGCUCUUUUGGUUAAUGACAAUUAUAAAUGUUCAAGAGGCACACCACUGAGGCAAGAGGCCUCAGCUAAUUGGGCAACGUGAUUAAAUGGAGGUAGACAUUGUUUUCCUCCGGUACACAGCAAUGUAUAUUUCAAGAGUAUAAAUAAUGACUUUGAGAAAAAAAUUAAGUCUAAAAUGGAAUGGAGGUUUAAAACAAAAAUAAAUUUAAUUUUAGGUUUUGGGGAGAAAACGUUUCUGGUUGCAAUUCUGGAUUUUUAUUGAUGGAUGGAUUGGCUUCAGGUGGGGGAUGUCAAAGGCUCAGGUGUGUGGCGGGGGAGGGCGGACUGCAGCUGCGGUGCAGGGAGGCCAGAUGGCUUGCAAGGAAGGAGCGAAAACUCAGGGAAUUCUAAUGAUGAGAAGCCCUCAAAGAGCUUUCAGAGAGCAGGCAGACAUGCUGGGAGUCCUGGGAGCCGUCGCAAUUAGCAUCUAGAAAUGAUUGUCUAAAAUACAGGUCUACAGUGCGACACAGCCUCAGCGUCCGGAGCAUGUGCUCAGAACAAACACACAA